RNAcentral lists this ribosomal RNA (468 nucleotides) under uncultured bacterium. Its description in RNAcentral is "partial 16S ribosomal RNA". It matches the Rfam family "Bacterial small subunit ribosomal RNA", at positions 28 to 507 of the family's 1533-position model. The record is from RNAcentral.
GACGAACGCUGGCGGCGUGCUUAACACAUGCAAGUCGAACGGAAAGGCCCUGCUUUUGUGGGGUGCUCGAGUGGCGAACGGGUGAGUAACACGUGGGUAACCUGCCCUUGACUUUGGGAUAACUUCAGGAAACUGGGGCUAAUACCGGAUAGGAGCUCCUGCUGCAUGGUGGGGGUUGGAAAGUUUCGGCGGUUGGGGAUGGACUCGCGGCUUAUCAGCUUGUUGGUGGGGUAGUGGCUUACCAAGGCUUUGACGGGUAGCCGGCCUGAGAGGGUGACCGGCCAAAUUGGGACUGAGAUACGGCCCAGACUCCUACGGGAGGCAGCAGUGGGGAAUAUUGCACAAUGGGCGGAAGCCUGAUGCAGCAACGCCGCGUGCGGGAUGACGGCCUUCGGGUUGUAAACCGCUUUCGCCUGUGACGAAGCGUGAGUGACGGUAAUGGGUAAAGAAGCACCGGCUAACUACGUG